AUGUGCGGUGGUUAUGGGCAGACUAGAGUGCAGUAGGGGAGACUGGAAUUCCUGGUGUAGCGGUGGAAUGCGCAGAUAUCAGGAGGAACACCGAUGGCGAAGGCAGGUCUCUGGGCUGUAACUGACGCUGAGGAGCGAAAGCAUGGGGAGCGAACAGGAUUAGAUACCCUGGUAGUCCAUGCCGUAAACGUUGGGCACUAGGUGUGGGGACCAUUCCACGGUUUCCGUGCCGCAGCUAACGCAUUAAGUGCCCCGCCUGGGGAGUACGGCCGCAAGGCUAAAACUCAAAGGAAUUGACGGGGGCCCGCACAAGCGGCGGAGCAUGCGGAUUAAUUCGAUGCAACGCGAAGAACCUUACCAAGGCUUGACAUGUUCUCGAUCGCCGUAGAGAUACGGUUUCCCCUUUGGGGCGGGUUCACAGGUGGUGCAUGGUUGUCGUCAGCUCGUGUCGUGAGAUGUUGGGUUAAGUCCCGCAACGAGCGCAACCCUCGUUCCAUCUUUCCAACANGU
RNAcentral lists this ribosomal RNA (510 nucleotides) under Micrococcus sp. RNAcentral's name for it is "bacterial SSU rRNA". It matches the Rfam family "Bacterial small subunit ribosomal RNA", at positions 619 to 1126 of the family's 1533-position model. Lineage: Bacteria; Bacillati; Actinomycetota; Actinomycetes; Micrococcales; Micrococcaceae. The record is from RNAcentral.